RNAcentral lists this long non-coding RNA (477 nucleotides) under Scleropages formosus (Asian bonytongue). RNAcentral describes it as "lncRNA (ENSSFOG00015032095.1)". Lineage: Eukaryota; Metazoa; Chordata; Actinopteri; Osteoglossiformes; Osteoglossidae. The record is from RNAcentral.
GUGAAGUUAUUGCUGUGCUCUGAUUUAAAUGACUGAAGGCUUGUUUGUCUGUGAGGGACUCAGUAUUCACAGCAGCCCAGAUAUGGUGUGACUGGAUUCCAUGAAAACUGCGGUGUACCUUUUUCAAAAUUCUUCUCCGUGUUUACACAGAACAUAGGGUUGUCAUACAGGCUACUUUUACUGCCCCCUCGGCUGUUCAGCCAUGGUAGAUUGAAGAUCAACUUCUCUUCAGUAUUACAGUCCGUAGUGCUGCAACAUUCUUCACUGAAGACACACUCACAGCAAAACUUGGGCCAGUUUCUUAACGCUGCAUCUUCUAUGUCUCACCUCAGUCCUUCUUCUGAGAUCCCAACCUCCUGCUUUCCCCCAGUGUAUACUGAAGAAUGGGAUGUGUUUUAAUUAUUCCCUCAUUCAUCAAUACAUCUCCUUCGCUUCACUUGCCCUAUUGCCAGAGACAACAGCAGAGCGUGGCAGCUA